AAUAUCGGACACUGGGGGCAACCCUGAUCCAGCCAGGCCGCGUGUGUGAGGAAGGGCUUCGGAGUGUAAAGCACUCUAAGUUGGGAGGAAAGGCUUUAUGCUACUACCCUGAAGGUUUGACGUUACUAACAGAAGAAGCACCGGCUAACUCGGUGCCAGCAGCCGCGGUAAUACAUAGGGUGCAAGCGUUAGUCGGAAUUACUGGGCGUAAAGCGCGCGUAGGUGGUUCAGUAAGAUGGGUGUGAAAUCCCCGGGCUUAACCUGGGAACUGCUUUCAUAACUGCUGAGCUAGAGUACGGUAGAGGGUAGUGGAAUUUCCUGUGUAGCGGUGAAAUGCGUAGAUAUAGGAAGGAACACCAGUGGCGAAGGCGACUACCUGGACUGAUACUGACACUGGGGUGCGAAAGCGUGGGGAGCAAACA
This 422-nucleotide ribosomal RNA is filed under the name uncultured bacterium. Its description in RNAcentral is "partial 16S ribosomal RNA". It matches the Rfam family "Bacterial small subunit ribosomal RNA", at positions 360 to 774 of the family's 1533-position model. The record is from RNAcentral.